Molecule: ribosomal RNA, 501 nt
Filed under: uncultured bacterium
Lineage: Bacteria
Description: partial 16S ribosomal RNA
Rfam family: Bacterial small subunit ribosomal RNA
Source: RNAcentral
AUUGAACGCUGGCGGCAUGCCUUACACAUGCAAGUCGAACGGCAGCACGGGUGCUUGCACCUGGUGGCGAGUGGCGAACGGGUGAGUAAUAUAUCGGAACGUACCUUAUUGUGGGGGAUAACGCAGCGAAAGCUGUGCUAAUACCGCAUAAUCCCUAAGGGGGAAAGCGGGGGACCGUAAGGCCUCGCGCAAUUAGAGCGGCCGAUACCCGAUUAGCCAGUUGGUGAGGUAAAGGCUCACCAAGGCAACGAUCAGUAGCUGGUCUGAGAGGACGAUCAGCCACACUGGGACUGAGACACGGCCCAGACUCCUACGGGAGGCAGCAGUGGGGAAUUUUGGACAAUGGGGGCAACCCUGAUCCAGCAAUGCCGCGUGAGUGAAGAAGGCCUUCGGGUUGUAAAGCUCUUUUGUCAGGGAAGAAACAGCAGCUCUAACACAGUUUGCGAAUGACGGUACCUGAAGAAUAAGCACCGGCUAACUACGUGCCAGCCGCCGCGGUAA